AUGCUUGGGUCAACGCCGAAUUCUUACUGGAGAAAUGCCUUAAAUAAGGCAGCAGUUGUAAAAGUUGGUGCUGUUCAUAAGAUGCUGGAGCUAAUUGAAUCGCCUUGUGUUGUUGGUUCAUCGGUUUCUGAGGCGGUUGUUGCGAAUUUCCUUGGAUUGAUUGCUUUGGAUUCUAACAAACCAAUAAUUGGAUCCUCUGGUGCAAUACCUUUCCUUGUUUGA
Non-coding RNA from Vicia faba (fava bean), 222 nucleotides. The record is from the annotation of a GenBank genome assembly. NCBI's taxonomy places the organism in Eukaryota, Viridiplantae, Streptophyta, Magnoliopsida, Fabales, Fabaceae.